Molecule: ribosomal RNA, 413 nt
Filed under: uncultured prokaryote
Description: bacterial SSU rRNA
Rfam family: Bacterial small subunit ribosomal RNA
Source: RNAcentral
GUGUCAGCAGCCGCGGUAAUACGGAGGAUGCAAGCGUUAUCCGGAAUCAUUGGGCGUAAAGAGUCCGUAGGUGGCACUUCAAGUCUGCUUUCAAAGACCGAAGCUCAACUUCGGAAAGGGAGUGGAAACUGAAGCGCUAGAGUAUAGUAGGAGUAGAGGGAAUUCCUAGUGUCGCGGUGAAAUGCGUAGAGAUUAGGAAGAAAACCAGUGGCGAGGGCGCUCUACUGGGCAUAUACUGACACUGAGGGACGAAAGCUAGGGGAGCGAAAGGGAUUAGAUACCCCUGUAGUCCUAGCGGUAAACGAUGGAUACUAGGCGUAGUGCUGUUAGAGGGACUGUGCCGAAGCUAACGCGUUAAGUAUCCCGCCUGGGGAGUACGCACGCAAGUGUGAAACUCAAAGGAAUUGACGGGG